RNAcentral lists this transfer RNA (85 nucleotides) under Felis catus (domestic cat). It matches the Rfam family "tRNA". From Rfam's summary of the family: Transfer RNA (tRNA) molecules are approximately 80 nucleotides in length. The record is from Rfam by way of RNAcentral. RNAcentral also lists the same sequence under 1 other name. Lineage: Eukaryota; Metazoa; Chordata; Mammalia; Carnivora; Felidae.
GCCUGGGUGGCUCAGUCGGUUGAGCGUCCGACUUCGGCUCAGGUCAUGAUCUCACAGUCCGUGAGUUCGAGCCCCGCAUCAGGCU